Molecule: ribosomal RNA, 423 nt
Filed under: uncultured bacterium
Lineage: Bacteria
Description: bacterial SSU rRNA
Rfam family: Bacterial small subunit ribosomal RNA
Source: RNAcentral
UAGGGAAUAUUGGGCAAUGGACGCAAGUCUGACCCAGCCAUGCCGCGUGCAGGAUGAAGGCGCUCAGCGUUGUAAACUGCUUUUACUGGUGAAGAAAGUUCAUUCUGCGGGAUGAUUUGACGGUAUCCAGGGAAUAAGCACCGGCUAACUCCGUGCCAGCAGCCGCGGUAAUACGGAGGGUGCAAGCGUUGUCCGGAUUUAUUGGGUUUAAAGGGUGCGUAGGUGGUCAUUUAAGUCUGAUUUGAAAGCAGGCGGCUUAACCGUCUGAUGUGGUUGGAAACUGAAUGACUUGAAUGGGUUGGCGGUAGCCGGAAUGGGUCAUGUAGCGGUGAAAUGCAUAGAUAUGACCCGGAACACCGAUUGCGAAGGCAGGCUACUACGACUUGAUUGACACUGAGGCACGAGAGCAUGGGUAGCGAACAG